RNAcentral lists this ribosomal RNA (301 nucleotides) under uncultured bacterium. Its description in RNAcentral is "partial 16S ribosomal RNA". It matches the Rfam family "Bacterial small subunit ribosomal RNA", at positions 509 to 808 of the family's 1533-position model. The record is from RNAcentral.
CAGCCGCCGCGGUAAUACGUAGGGUGCGAGCGUUGUCCGGAAUUACUGGGCGUAAAGGGCUCGUAGGUGGUUUGUUGCGUCGUCUGUGAAAUUCUGGGGCUUAACUCCGGGCGUGCAGGCGAUACGGGCAUAACUUGAGUGCUGUAGGGGUAACUGGAAUUCCUGGUGUAGCGGUGAAAUGCGCAGAUGUCAGGAGGAACACCGAUGGCGAAAACACUCUGCUGGGCCGACACUGACACUGAGAGACGAAAGCUAGGGGAGCAAAUGGGAUUAGAGACCCGCGUAGUCCCUGUCUCUUAUA